Molecule: ribosomal RNA, 245 nt
Filed under: uncultured Eubacteriales bacterium
Lineage: Bacteria; Bacillati; Bacillota; Clostridia; Eubacteriales
Description: uncultured Clostridiales bacterium partial 16S ribosomal RNA
Rfam family: Bacterial small subunit ribosomal RNA
Source: RNAcentral
UACGUAGGUGGCGAGCGUUAUCCGGAUUUACUGGGUGUAAAGGGUGUGUAGGCGGCCAUGCAAGUCAGAUGUGAAACCUCCGGGCUCAACUCGGAGCUUGCAUUUGAGACUACGUGGCUUGAGAGUCGGAGGGGUAAUCGGAAUUCCCGGUGUAGAGGUGAAAUUCGUAGAUAUCGGGAGGAACACCAGUGGCGAAGGCGGAUUACUGGACGACCACUGACGCUGAGACACGAAAGCGUGGGGAG